RNAcentral lists this ribosomal RNA (382 nucleotides) under uncultured bacterium. RNAcentral's name for it is "bacterial SSU rRNA". It matches the Rfam family "Bacterial small subunit ribosomal RNA", at positions 30 to 414 of the family's 1533-position model. The record is from RNAcentral.
CGAACGCUGGCGGCGUGCUUAACACAUGCAAGUCGAGCGGUAAGGCCCUUUCGGGGGUACACGAGCGGCGAACGGGUGAGUAACACGUGGGUGACCUGCCCUCAGCUCUGGGAUAAGCCUGGGAAACCGGGUCUAAUACUGGAUAUGACUCCAUGACGCAUGUUGUGGGGUGGAAAGCCUUGUGCGGCUGAGGAUGGGCCCGCGGCCUAUCAGCUUGUUGGGGGGUGAUGGCCUACCAAGGCGACGACGGGUAGCCGGCCUGAGAGGGCGACCGGCCACACUGGGACUGAGACACGGCCCAGACUCCUACGGGAGGCAGCAGUGGGGAAUCUUGCGCAAUGGGCGAAAGCCUGACGCAGCGACGCCGCGUGAGGGAUGACGG